Molecule: long non-coding RNA, 393 nt
Organism: Oncorhynchus nerka (sockeye salmon)
Lineage: Eukaryota; Metazoa; Chordata; Actinopteri; Salmoniformes; Salmonidae
Exons: 3
Source: RefSeq, a predicted model, not a curated record
UGUGUCUCUGUGUGUGUGUGUCUCGCUGUGUGUCUCUGUGUGUGUGUCUCACCCUGUGUGUGUGUGUGUGUCUCUCUGUGUGUCUCCUAGCGGACCCUAGAGAGAGAGGUGAGUCAGUGCCAGGCGCUUGUCAUCUGGACAGAUUGUGACAGAGAGGGAGAGAACAUCGGCUUUGAGGUGAUAGACGUCUGCAAAGCAGUCAAGCCCGGUGUGCAGGUGUUCCGUGCUCGGUUCUCUGAGAUCACUCCCAACUCUAUCAGGAGGGCAUGUGACACGUUAACGGAACCAGACGGUAACGUCAGUGAUGCUGUGGACGUCCGUCAGGAGCUGGACCUCAGGAUAGGUGCAUCGUUUACCAGGUUCCAGACACUCCGCCUCCAGAAGACCUUCCCG